Molecule: long non-coding RNA, 9695 nt
Filed under: Zostera marina
Lineage: Eukaryota; Viridiplantae; Streptophyta; Magnoliopsida; Alismatales; Zosteraceae
Description: long non-coding RNA (ZMAR_LNC005202)
Source: RNAcentral
GUCUUGGUUAGUUGUGAAGUUUAAUUUAUUUCGCGAGUUUAGCCGUAGACUGAGCUACGAUUCGUACGACCAAGUCUACGCCCAGAGUGGCUAGCAAUAGGGUUAGCAGAGUCUAAUUUACGUCCAGAGUGGCUAAAUUACGACUUGUGAAUCUAGUUUCGGGUCUUAGUUACAAUUUAAAAAAUAAAUUAAAUAAACAAUUAAUUAAGAAAGCAAAAUAAUUGAUUGAGUUCCAAAAAAUUACAAAAAUAUCAAAACAUUACAAGAGGGGGAAUAUCACGAGCUCUCCCGACACUUCUGUCGCUUCGGCCAGAAGUCGUCAAAAUCCACACAGUUACCCAAAACUUAAGGAGUCGACGAUUGGGACACCGAGUCACCGACUCAGGGUAAAACAACAUCACAUUUCCAGGAGGGAGUAUCAGAAGCUCUCUCCGACACUUCUGUCGCUUCGGCCUUAGUAGACUAGGGGUCAUUUUGACGCUUCGGCCUUAAUGAUAUCAAGAGGGGAGUAUCACAAGCUCAUCCCGACACUCCUAUCGCUUUGGCCAGAAGUUGUCAAAUUCGGGGGGGAGUAUCAUAAACUCUUCCCGACACUUCUAUCGCUUUGGCCAGAAGCUGUCACAUGAUGAGCAUGAUAGAUCUGUCGCUUCGGCCAGAUCAAUGAAGGAUUUAUUGAGCAUAGGAAGGAGAAGCACGAGGAGCAGCCCCGCACGGCAAGGUCAGUAAGUCAAUAAAUAUAUCCUUUAGACUGAUACAGUUGUUUUGCAGGUUAUUUUUGUUUUGCAGGAACGAUUCUGUCGCUUUGGCCAGGAUCCACGCAUUCUGUCGCUUCGGCCAGAAUCAGACUCUAAUAACGAGUCGGUCCAUUUUGUCGCUAUGGCCUCAAUGGACCAAGAAUUAUUUUGUCGCUUUGGCCUCAAUAAUUCUCCUAUCUUGUCGCUUUGGCCUUGAUAGACUUGGAGAUCAUUUUGUCGCUUUGGCUUUAAUGAUCUCGACCCACUUUGUCGCUUCGGCCUUAGUGGGGUAACUGUCGUUGCGGACGUAAAGUCUCUCUUGAUCAGGGUGGACUAUAAACAUCGGUUCUGAUAGUGAACUAGACCCUGUUGCUUUGGCCAGGAUCCACGCAUUCCGUCGCUUUGGCCAGAAUCAGACUCUGAUAGUGAGUCGCUCCAUUUUGUCGCUUUGGCCUUAAUGGAUGGGAAUUAUUUUGUUGCUUUGGGCCUUAAUAAUCUCCCUUCAUCUUGUCGCUUCGGCCUUGAUGAUAACACAGAAAGAGUCGCUCCUGAUCAGAGUUGGACUAUAAAUACGUAGUUCCAUUGGCCAGGGAUCUCGGGUCUGGUAGCCCGAGGACUUGGCCUCCACGGAAUCGGCGACUCCACUCCUGGAUCGGCGAUUCCCAUACCUGAGUCGCCGACUCCCAGACGUUACGCGGGCGGGCCCACCCCAUUAUGGCACCCUUCAAUAGGGCACCAUAAUGAGGUGGGCCCCACUCAAUAAGAGUGGAAACGCCUCUAGGACCCUAUAAAAGGGGACCUAGGGGUGUCCUCCACUCCCAUCUCCUCUUGACCACACACACUCCACACUAGAGCAUCCAAGGAGCCCGAAUCGCCUACUCCCACGUGAGUCGCCGAUUCCCCUCCUCUUCUGCAGGUGUUUGAUGUAGAGCGCGCGUCGUGGACUCCACAGCCUCCGGCUCAUCUCGCCACCCCGCGAGCCCACUGGUAGCAGAUUCCGUGCUUCAUCAGGGUUUUAAUGGUGGUAAAUGGAGAUGGAUUUCCGCCAACGAUCACUUUAGAUGGCGGAAGUCUGCCAUCUAAAGACCGCCAUACAAGGUCUUAUUUCUUGUAGUGUUGGGGUGAAGCCUGGGUCGAUGUUUAGCUCAUGGCAUGUCGUGGUUCGCUGUACCUGUGAGGGUGCCUCUCCCUCCCACACGAAUGAUGCCUCAUGAGUAUUUAGUAAUUCUAUUAAGAAAUUUUUUAAUUCUGAGGUAAUGAACAUACCUAUCAUAAUUUUUCCUCCCCAUGUUAGUGCAACUUCUUCUGUUUGGCCCUGGGGUGCCACCUCCUCCUCUUCCUCUCUUUCUCGGAUAAACAGAGUUGUGGGCUUGGCCAUUUUGGUUGCCUUUCUGUAUGAAUCCCUCGAAUCCUUUUGUUCUCCUCGCACAGUUGCCAUUUUUCCAUCAUUCCGUAAGUAUCUGAAGGUCUGAUGGUAGGAUGAGGGUACUGCCUUGAAGCCGUGUAUACUUGGCCUUCCUAGGAUUCCGUUUAACGGGGAAGCGAUGUCUGCUACAAUGAAGUGUGCAGUUUUGGCUACUCUCCCUCUUCUUUCACCCAACGAUACUUCUAGAUCAAUUAUACCCACUACUGGAGCUUUUGUGUUUGUAAAACCGUAUAUUGCCUCUUUGGCUGGGGUUAAUUGCUCCUUCUUGAAGCCCAUUUUCUCGAAAGAAGCUAGAUACAGGAUGUCUACUGAGCUCCUGUUAUCUACCAUUACCUUGGUUAGAGUUAGGUCUUCUCAUAUAUCUACUUGGAUCAACAAUGGGUCUUCGUGUGGGUUUGCAAUAUUGUCUAGAUCUUCUUCUGAGAAACUGACAUCCUCCUGUGGGUAUGCCCUUUUUCAUGGAUUUUUUAUUGGUUGCGUAGUAGUGUGUAGGACUUUUCUUGUGUAUCUCCUACUUUGUCCUACUGAUCCCCCUCCGAAGAUGACAUUGAUGACUUUUCUUUUCUGUUCCUUAGGUUUGUCAUUAGGACUGCACGAGCGCUCUCGCUUUCUUCUGCUCUUUGGGGGUUUGCAACUUGUUUCCUCCCGGAUUUUAGCUACAUACCCCUUCAACUUCCCUACCUUUGCCUGGGCUUCUAAAAGGCCUUCCAGCUCUCUACAGGUGUUGGCCCGUGACCUUAAUCUCUAUGGAACUCGCAGUAUCUUCUGUUUUUUUCCCGUGCCUCUCUAGUGGCGGGAUCUAGAGGGAUAGGUUCUGGAAACUUCAUUUUUCCUUUAUCCCUGCCGUAUAUUUCCUGAUGUGACGUAUUGAAAGGAUUGUUGGCAUUGUGGAACCUUGAUCUCCUGGGUUCCUCUAAUGUUUGAUAGACCCUGCUAUCAUGCCUGGGUUUCCAUGAUGAUUCCCCCUUUUCGAAUUUUUUGAAUUUCUCUUUUUGAGGCUUGAAUGCCUAUGCUGCGGCAACCACUUUCUCUUUCUCCUUUUCUUCGGAGUUCAUGUACUUCUGUGCCUGGACCAUCAUCUCUUCUAUGCUUUUUACGGGUUUUACAUUCAGCUUGAUUGCCAGUGGGUUGUUCAUGUCUAGACCGCUUGAGAAUGCAUAAAUUGCGAUGGUCGUAUUUAGGUUGGAUACCUUCUGCAUUACCUCAGUGAACUUGUUUGUGUAGUUUCUGAAGGUGUCAUUAUUCUGUUUUAUCAGGAAUAGUGAAUCUGUCCCCUUUUUUACCAUCACAUUAUCACAGUGCUGAGCCAGGAAUUUCUCUCUUAGGUCAGAGAAGCUUUUGAUGCUCUGAGUUGGUAAAUCUGCAAACCUCCUGUAUGUGCUUCCUCUCAGGGUUCCUGGGAAAGCCCUACACAGUAUGCCAUCCCUCUCUGUUACCCAUUGCAUGGCUUCCCUGAACAUAUUUAUGUGAUCCACGGGGUCCUGCUUUCCAUUAUAUUCUGGCAGUUUUGGGAGCUUGAACCCUAUUGGUGUGGAGUAUAUCAUCAAUGAGUUGUCUAAGGCUUCCAUGCCCUGGAAUAGGACUGAGCGCUUUCGUGUUAUGUUUUCUGAAUCCCCUGUUCCCUCCCUGUACUAUAGAUGCGGGAUUUGGUGAGAUUUUGUAUUUUCCUUUGGCUUUAUGGUGAGGGAUUUUCUGCCUGACUUUUUGUGCGAGGGGUCUGGAUUUUGCUGUCUGGUUAAUUGCCCUUUGUUUCUCUGAACCCUGUCCUGAAGGACGUGCUUAAUUCUGACCUUUCGUAAACUGAGCUGUCCUGAUUCUGCGCGUAGUUUCCCUUGCUUUUAACCUCUCCUGCAUUCGAGCUAUGGUUUCUCUCAUUCUGAUUAAUUCUUCGAUUGGGAUUCGUAUCGAAGAUUGGUGGCUGUUAGCAGGGAUAGCUGAUUGGUCAAUGACCCUUUCUUGGUGGGCGGGAACCUGCUGUUGUUCCCUCUGCUGCUGUUCUAUAUUCAGGGCCUUUUCUUGACGGGUGGGAAUCUGUUGUUUCCUCUGCUGCUACUCUCUCUGCAUUUGCUGCAUCUGCAGAAAGCUAAAUGGAUUUUGGAAUAUUACUGUUUCCAUUUGUGUCUGAUUCAGCAGGGGGUUUGGUAUUACUAGGGUUUGAUUUUCUCCCGGGGCGUUAGUUUGGGCCCUGGGGCUCUCAGGUGCCCCCUCUUGUUGGGUCGCCCCUUGUGGUUUUUCCCGCACGUAUGAGAUUGUUCUUGUGUCAACCAUUUUACUACUUUGGUCUAGAAAAAAUCGAGUUGAGAUAAUCCACUUGUGUGGGUCGACUUGAGGAAGGCGAGUGUUGCGAGGUCACGAAAGUCGAACUAGCUGAACCUCGAGCUGGGGAUCAACUCUCUCACUAUGACUGUUUUCCGUCGAUGUCGACCUUAGGUCAGUCGAAUUUGCAGAAGUCGAGCCCGGGGUUGAUCCUUCUUAGGUGCUCGAAUUGGAACUUCCCGAAGAAGUCGAACUGGACUGGUCGAGUUGGAUCACGAAGUCGACUCUAGGAAUCGAGCUUCCCGAGGAAGUCGGGCUGGACGACUGAACCUGGAGUCGAUCCCCCAGAUGUAGUUGAGUUGGAUCGCAAAUUCGACCCUGGGAGUCAGACCUCCCGAGGAAAUCGAGCUGGAGGGCUGAAUCUGUGCUCUUUGGAGCUGAUUUGGCCGCGACUUUUCGACAAAGUCGACCAGCUUUCUGUUUUGUGAGUAUCUUGAAUUCACAGACGGUGCUAAUUGAUAAGGGUCGAACCCGAUCAGUGCUAGCGCAACGCUUCGAACAAGCGUAUGGCCACGAACUCCACCGAAAAUCGCUCGGACACUCUAGUCACUCAGGCUUUCUCUGGCAGAGGUUCUUUCUCACUCCAAAUAUCCUAACCUCCAAUGAAUGAUGGUGGUCCCUAUUUAUAGGGUCCUUAUGGUGGUAAUCUGGUCAUUAGGGCUCUAACCGCCUAACUGCCCAGAUCUGGCCCGGGUCGACUUUGUGGGGUCGACUUUUGGCCCUUGACCUCCUUAGGGGUCGGCUUGGCUAAAGUCGUCCAGGAGGGUCGACUUCUUCAUAAAGUCGACUGGAGCUCCCCAUUUCCUAUAUGGGCGCUUCCACUCAUUCUAGCUUAUCUUAAGCUGGUGUUGUGGUCUGGUACGGGAUACUAUACCACCUACGAUGUAAUGAAGUAUAUCAAUUUUUCGGAUGUCGAUGUCACUACUAGCGGGCACAAUCCUGGGGACCGUCUGAUUGUGACCGAACAUAUGCAGGCUCCUCAGAUUGCUGGGAUUUACGAGCGAGCACUUGGUCGACUGGAUCCCUUGAUUGGAAAGGAAGAAGAUUGGGGGAUUCUUGAGAAAAAAGACUCUGAUGAUAUUGACGACGCAUGCUACAUUCAUGCCCUUCAGGCUGUGGCUAUCGAACGUUACCGACAGAACAGAGGUGCCCGGUAGACCCGUGAACUUAAUGAUGCUUUGGAUGAAGUUACUCGCCUGACCAAUGAACUUUCCCUAAGGUAUACUGAGAUUGAAUCAUUUAUGAAGGAGAGGGACGAUGGAGCCUCCCAGAUUGCAUCAAUACAAAAAGAUGUCGAAAGUGCGAAGCUGAAAUUUGCCGAACGUGCCAAGUCUGUUACCGAUAGGAACAAGCGUUCUUGUUUUAAGAAUUUUGUUGAAGAUAUGGUUCACGAGCGGGAGAUAGUCAACCUUCGGAGUCCCGAGUAUGAGUCAGUUGUUGUACUUGUGAAUCCUCACAUGUGGGAGCAAUGGCAAGCGCACGGGAUCCCUGAGGAACACCCCCAUUGGUCGAAGACACUUCAGGAUCUUACGGGUGAUGCAGAUGAUAAAUAGAUGUUUUUUUGUAACGCACCUUUUAUUUUGUCCCCCUUCUUUGCACGACUAUUUCUCGUUAUUUUUGCUUUUUCUUUUUAUGACUUGUCUGUUCGUCCUUGUUUGUGCUUCCUUUACCCUACGAGUUACCUUCUGAUGCAUUCUUGUUUCCUCGUCCCCCUUUUUUUCUUAUGGUAUUUUGUGUCGCAUAGUUGCCUACGCUUCCGACGUCUGAUGGGUGGAUUGCCUUUGACCGACACGACUGCCCUACGGCAUUUUUAUUUUGGCGGGUGGUUGAUGAAGCACGAAAUCUGCUACCAGUAGGCUCGCGGGGUUGCGAGGAGGGCCGGAGGCUUUGGAGUCCACGACGCACGCUCUACGUCAAUGUACCUGCAGAAGAGGAGGGGAAUCGGCGACUCACGUGGGAGUAGGCGAUUCGGGCUCCAUAGUUUACUCUGGUUGGGGUGUGUUAAGUGUGAAUGACUUGAGGGAAGAGGUCCCCCAAGGACCCCUUUUAUAGGGUCCUGGGGGACGUUUUCCCCAUUCAUUAGCGUGGGACCCACCCCAUUAAGGUAUCCUAUUAAGGAAUGCCUUAAUGGCGAGGGUCCGCUCAAGUAACGGCUGGGAGUCGGCGAUUCAGGUGUGGGAAUCGCCGAUCCAGAGGUUCAAUCGCCGACUCCCCAUGAGCCUAGUGGCAGCCUACCAGAACUGUCCACGAGGCCUAGAGUUAGCGAUUCAUCCCUGGAGUCAGCGACUUGGUAGUCCCAAUCGGCGACUCCCAGGUGCUGCCUUGAGUACUUGACGUAGAAACUCCUUCCGGAUUCGUGGAACUCUCCGGGGGUCCGGCAGCAAGUGACGGAACCCUAGUUCUUGUCGAAGGGCGUUGCUGGAAGUGACUGACGUGUUCAGGCAUGUCUCACCAGUACUCCCCCCUGAAGAGAGCAUGGCAAAACACCCGUGUAGCCUCAGUCUCCCCCCCCGAGCAAGAUAGUACGUGUGGACCAUAUCAAAUGGACUGAUUCACCAUCGGAAUAUAGUCAUUGUGCCCACAGCGACACUAAUGACUCCGCGUGGUCCAUGCAUUAUCAGAUGGACUGAUUCAUUAUCAGAAUCUAGUUCCAGGCCAACGGAACUACAUGUUUAUAGUCUUACUCUGAUCAAGAGCGACUUUUGCUGUGUGGAUCUUUGCCGAAGCAACAGAUCGCGUGGAUUCACUGUUGGAAUCUGAUUCUGGCCGAAGCAACAGAAUGCGUGGAUUCGUUAUCCGAAUCGGGUUCUGGCCGNNNNNNNNNNNNNNNNNNNNNNNNNNNNNNNNNNNNNNNNNNNNNNNNNNNNNNNNNNNNNNNNNNNNNNNNNNNNNNNNNNNNNNNNNNNNNNNNNNNNGGCCGAAGCAACAGAAUGCGUGGAUUCAUUAUCCGAAUCGGGUGUUUAUAGUCUACCCUGAUCAAAGGCGACUUUUUGUCCGCAACGACGGUUACCCCAUAGGCCGAAGCGCAAGAUGGGUCGAGAUCAUUAAGGUCAAAUGACAAAAAUGAUCUCCAAAUGUUUGAAGAACCAUUGAAGCCAAAGCGACAACAUAGUUCUUGGUUUGAUUCUGGCCGAAGCAACAGAAUGCGUGGAUUCUGGCCGAAGCAACAGAAUCGUGCCUGCAAAACAAAAAACAACCUGCAAAACAACUUUAUCAGUCUAAAGGAUAUAUUAAUUGAUCUACUGACCUUGCCGUGCGGAGCUGCCUCUCAAUGCUGCUCCUCAUCCUUGAUUGAUCUGUCUGGAGCGACAGAUCUAUCAUGCUCAAAAAAUGUGACAGCUUCUGGCCGAAGCAACAGAAGUGCCGACUCAGUAUUAGAGUCUGAUUCUGGCCGAAGCAACAGAAUGCGUGGANNNNNNNNNNNNNNNNNNNNNNNNNNNNNNNNNNNNNNNNNNNNNNNNNNNNNNNNNNNNNNNNNNNNNNNNNNNNNNNNNNNNNNNNNNNNNNNNNNNNCCGAAGCGCAGAUCGCGUGGAUUCACUAUUGGAAUCUGACUUACUACCAGAGUCUGGUUCACUAUUAGAACCUUGUGAUGUGACGACUUCCAUCCUAUAGACAGAAGUGUCGGGAGAGCUUGUGAUACUCUCCCUUGAAAUGUGACGACUUCCACCCUAUAGACAGAAGUGUCGGGAGAGCUUGUCAUACUCCCCCCCGAAAUGUGACGACUUCCAUCCUAUGGACAGAAGUGUCGGGAGAGCUUCUGAUACUCCCCCUCGAAAUGUGACGACUUCCAUCCCAUGGACAGAAGUGUCGGGAGAGCUUGUGAUACUCUCCCUCGAAAUGUGACGACUUCCAUCCCAUGGACAGAAGUGUCGGGAGAGUUCGUGAUAAUUCUCCCUCGAAUUUUGACAACUUCUGGUCAAAGUGACAGAAGUGUCGGGAGAGUUUGUGAUACUCCCCCUCGAAAACUUGCGCUUGGGGCAAUUUUAGUGUUAUUUUACCCGGAAUCGGCGACUGGAGUUUGUGACACUCUUGGAAGUCGGCGAUAUCCGUGGUAUUUUUUAUUUUUUACCCUUGUGAGUCGGCGACUCCCUCUGUGAGUCGGCGACUCCUAGUGUAACCGUCGGAUCUUUCCGGAAGAUACUUGGAAUAUUUUGGAGAUAUAUGGGGAAUAUAUGCAAAAUCUCCAAAGCGACAAGAUGGGAUGAGAUCAUUAAGGCCAAAGCGACAAAAUGAUCUCCAAGUCUAUCAAGGCCAAAGCGACAAGAUAGAAGAAUUAUUAAGGCCAAAGCGACAAAAUAAUUCUUGGUCCAUUAAGGCCAAAGCGACAAAAUGGACCUUGAUCUAUUAAGGCCAAAGCGACAAAAUAGAUUUCUAAUGCAGGGUACUAGUUAGAGUCGUAGGUAGUGAUUUCGAAAGAGUGUUACAAAAAUAAAAUCUAACUAUUCUAUUUUGUAACUUGUACUAGCAUAGGGACUACAAUUUAGGACUACAAUUCUAGACUUGAACCCUGGUGUAUUAGUCAAGCUCCGGCCAUAGCGACAGAGUGACUCUCGAUCCUUAUCAAGGCCAUAGCGACAAGAUGGGAUAGGAUCAUUGAAGCCAAGGCGACAAAAUGAUCCUUGGUCUAUUAAGGCCAUAGCGACAAAAUAGAUUAAAAGCGAGGGUAUCGUUGAUUGUAGUCGAAAAUUUAGAAUAUCGGGCUAGAUUCGUAAAUGAGAGUCCGAUUUAGAUUCUUAAGUCGCACUUUGGACUCAUAAAUCGUAAACUAGACUUGGAAUCGCAAUUUUAGUCACUUUGGACGUAAAUUGGAUUUUGUAACCAUCGCUUAGAUUCGCGGGUCGUAAGCUAGGUCUGAGCAGCGUGUAUCAUCCAGCCAAAGCGAUGGAUGAUACAUGAGGUUGAAGAGACGGAUGUCAUCUAGCCGGAGCGAUGGAUGAUUGAUCCGUCUGAAGCGAUGGAUGAUUAUUCUAAAAAUGGUACUGCAUAUAUCUCUAUGGGUUAAAGAGAGAUUUAUUUAGAAUAAUAUCGCUAUUGAGAAUACAUGAGAAUAGCAUGAGCGACAAAUAAAACAAUCGACAUGUUUUGGUCGCUGGUUGCCACUGACAGAAGCAUAGCCUGCAUGGUUACUCUGGCCAAUCCUAUCUCUUAACAGGUGAUAGUUCCUCACUACUAAUGUGAUGCAUUUGAUUGCGAGUGUGAACUGUGGCUCUGGUUGCCA